Molecule: long non-coding RNA, 1922 nt
Organism: Cervus elaphus (red deer)
Lineage: Eukaryota; Metazoa; Chordata; Mammalia; Artiodactyla; Cervidae
Exons: 3
Source: RefSeq, a predicted model, not a curated record
UUGUUCUGGUUGUAGGGCCCGCCCCAGACGUCUGGAGUCCCGGGGCCGAAGCUCAGUAAAAGUACGUUCCUGUCUUCUUCGGUGCGUCUUCUCUCCUAGGGCAUUCUUUGCGCGCUCCUGGUGCUUUACAGGAGAUCUGCGCCUCGGUUCCAUCCCGGAUCGGGAUAACCCCCUAUUCUCAACCGAGCUUCCUACCCUGGCAGGGGUCUCUGCUGCCUGGGGGCCCGGCCUUGGGGCCUGGACUGGAAAGAGUGACUUGCGUUCCGGAGUCGCAGCGGAAAGCGGGAGGGUCAGUGGCUGGGAAAGGAAAAGGACGCUUUAGAGGAAUCUGAUUCAUCCCUUCUGACCAAGUCCCGCAACAGUUCUUUCCAGAUGUGUGCGUGUGUUCUAAGACAUUUCGGUAGUGUCUGACUCUUCGCAACCCUAUGGACUGUAUCCUGUCAGGCUCCUCUGUCUAUGGGAUCCUCCCGGCAAGAAGACUGAAGUGGGUUGCCUGUGCCUUCCCAACACAGGGAUCAAACCCUUGUCUCUAUGUCUCCUGCAUUGGCAAUUUGUUUCGACUCUGGAUUGAACCGGGGCCCUUGGCAGUGAAACCACAGUGUCCUAACCAGUGGACCACCAGGGAAUUCCCACCUUGCUGAUUUUAAACACAAAUCCCUGCCAGACCUCAAUGAUAUUGUGAUUUAAGAAAUGUAUAUUUGGUCUUCCUCCACAGUUCUGGCACAAAAACCUUUGCAGUUUCCUAAUGAUAAGUAUCUUGGGGAUAUCUUUCCUUCUCAGCUUCUGAAAUAGCUCCUGAAUGAAAUCCAUGUCCUUUCAGCCACCUCUGAGUUUAUGUAAAUAUGACUUUUGGAAAGUCCCUAAGGGUAGGGACCUCAGAGGAGGAGAGAGGGGCUGGAGGUUAAAUCAACAGCUAAUGAAGCCUCCAUUAAAAAACCCCAAACCAACUUGUUCAAAGAGCUUCCAUGUUGGUGACUCUAUGGAGCUGCUGAGAGGGUGGCGAGCCUAGAGAGGGCAUGGAAGCUCUGCACCCUUCUUCACACCGAGCCCUGUGCAUCUCUGCCACCUGGCUGUUCCUGAGUUAUUAAUAUAUACUUUUGUAAUAAACUGGUAAUCCAGCAAGCAAACUGUUUUCCUGAGCUUGGGGAGCUGCUCCAGCAAAUUAAUCAAGUCCCAGGAGAGGGUUAUUUGAACCCCCAGUUUACUGCUUGUGGAUCAGAAGCACAGGUUAACAACUUGAACUUGUGACUCAUCAGGGGCGGGGCUCAGUCCCCCAAGAUUUUAACCUGUUUGAUCUGAUGGUAUCUCUGGGUAGUGUCAGAACUAAGUUUAAAUGUAGGAAACCCAGCUGGUGUGGUAGCAUUGUUUGGUGGGGCAAAAAAAAAAAAAAAAACUAUCACACAGUAAGCGAUCAGAAGUGAGAGAAGUGCUGUGAGUCGACAGAAAAUAGAAGAGUAUUUUUUUUUCCUAAGCAAGCUCUAAAGAGGUCUAAGUCUGAAACCCAAGGCAGCGGUUGUCAAACCUUAGAGUGUUUUAGAACCAAUUUGCAAGACUUAAAACCUCAGUUGGUGGACUCCAUCUGCAGAGUUUGUGAUUCAGUAGGUCUGGAAGAGCAAGUGCUCACUUGAUGCUGAUGGUACUGGGUCUCGGAACAUACUUUGAGAACUACUAGAUCUGGCCUGCCAUCCCAUUUAAGGUGGUUUCAGACUAAGGGAAGGAUAGAAUUAAAAUAAGGAUGAUCAGACGUCAUAGUAAUAGAUGAUGAUAUAUCAGCAAAUUUUCAAAGUACUGCAAGUAUAAAAUAAUGGUUCUGUGACUCUUACUUGGAAAAGGUACUGCAUAAUUAACGUUUCAAGGAUAGAAUAUACAUGUCGGUAAUAUUCAAUUCCAUUUACUUUCUAAAUAAAUUGAUGCCGUAUUUU